UAGAGUUUAUCCUGCUCAGAUUAACGCUGGGGCAGGCUUUACACAUGCAAGUCGACGGUGCAGGUUCUUCGGUAACUACCUAGCGGCGUACGGGUAGUAUACUUAGGAAUCUGCCUAUUAAUGGGGGACAACAUCUCGAAAGGGAUGCUUAAUACCGCAUACGCCCUACGGGGGAAAGCAGGGGAUCACUUGUGACCUUGCGUUAAUAGAUGAGCCUAAGUCGGAUUAGCUAGUUGGUGGGGUAAAGGCCUACCAAGGCGUACGUAUCUGUAGCGGCGUCUGAGAGGAUGAUCCCCCACACUGGGACUGAGACACGGCCCAGACUCCUACGGUAGGCAGCAGUGGGGAAUAUUGGACAAUGGGGGGAACCCUGAUCCUAGCCAUGCCGCGUGUGUGCAAGAAGGCCUUAUGGUUGUAAAGCACUUUAAAGCGAGGAGGAGGCUCUUUUGGUUAAUACCCAAGAUGAGUGGACG
RNAcentral lists this ribosomal RNA (473 nucleotides) under uncultured bacterium. Its description in RNAcentral is "bacterial SSU rRNA". It matches the Rfam family "Bacterial small subunit ribosomal RNA", at positions 1 to 474 of the family's 1533-position model. The record is from RNAcentral.